Molecule: long non-coding RNA, 1313 nt
Organism: Gadus morhua (Atlantic cod)
Lineage: Eukaryota; Metazoa; Chordata; Actinopteri; Gadiformes; Gadidae
Source: Ensembl
GUUACCAAUACCACAGCAGAGAUCGCACUUCGGGAUGUGUGAUGGCUGGCAGGGCAAACCUCUCCCGAAACGUCCACGGACCUUGGCAGCUCUAGGCAACCGCGUAGGACAGCGCCCUUCCUCGCAACAAUCACCUGGAGGGCCUCUCUCCCCGUCGUUUUCACUGGCGUCCAGACUCAGCGAACAACAAACGCCCAAAACCGCCGCACCACUCUCAGCGACCGACCCGACGCAAAACCGCACCAAACCCAACCUAGUAAUAAACUGAACUUACAAAAACAAAACAAACAAAACCAGCGUGUUUGCACAAUUUCGGGGUCUUUCACACUCCUGCGCCCCUCUCUCCGCGCCUUUUUCCUCUCCCCUCCCCUUUUCUGUGCCCGUCAUUCGUCUUAAAGGCGCAGUCUAUUUGUACCCCGUUACAUAUGUCCUGCUGUGAUGAUCUAAAAGCAGGUGGGGAAAGCAGGGGCUUGUGGAGGACUCCUUUUUUUUCCUUUUUCUUAGCCCUAUACAUUGGAACAGUACAAGAGUAUGAACAACAACAGUUUUGUAAGACUGCAAACUUGCCAAUCACAAAAUGUCUUUAUGUGAGUGAUAAUGCAUGGCCAUCUGUAAUCAGACCUUGUAUGCUUCUCCCCCUCAUCUGCAGGCACAGUUUCUUUCAGCUUUGAGGAAGGGCUGCAUUAGAAAAGAAAUCACUCAAUAAGCAUGCAUUGUUUUGUGUAGCUGAUGGUUUUCAUAGUAUAGAUUACUGCACAGUGCUUACAUUCUCCUUCUUUUACCCCUUUCAUCAUGUGAUGUCAGGGUGCUCCUGGUUUGGGCUUUUUUCAGGUUCAUACGCGCUGCAUCAUAAUUGGCUGUUGAAGACAACAAUGAAGUCUCAUCUGGCAUAGCGCUUUGGAUGACUGCAACUUUCGUCCCCUUGGUGUCUUUAUGCGGUGGCCAAAAAGACACCUUGCCAUCCAAACUUAGCCACGAGCAAGGCACAACCUCCACCUCGUUUGACUCGGUUCCCAACCACAGCUGUCCCCAGUGCAGUUGAAUCAAUGGGGUGGUUGAAAAAUGGACGUUGGUCUAAAUAUUGCCUCGCCACAAAAGACGUACCACCAAGUGUCCUGCUAAUUGCCUCUAUUUUAAAAGUGGCACCACCACACGAAACUGUGUUGUUCCCAUCCUUUGUGGACAGGGUAAAUCUAUCAGUGGCGUACUGUGUUGUUGAGGGUGAACUUUGGUUAUGGGAAGAUGGACAGACUGGGUUGAUGCUUGAUUUUUCCGUUAAUCGUUUAACAAUUUGUUGUAAUGUCUGGUUUGGC